GAUGAACGCUGGCGGCGUGCCUAAUACAUGCAAGUCGAGCGAACAGACGAGGAGCUUGCUCCUCUGACGUUAGCGGCGGACGGGUGAGUAACACGUGGAUAACCUACCUAUAAGACUGGGAUAACUUCGGGAAACCGGAGCUAAUACCGGAUAAUAUAUUGAACCGCAUGGUUCAAUAGUGAAAGACGGUUUUGCUGUCACUUAUAGAUGGAUCCGCGCCGCAUAAGCUAGUUGGUAAGGUAACGGCUUACCAAGGCAACGAUGCGUAGCCGACCUGGGAGGGUGAUCGGCCACACUGGAACUGAGACACGGUCCAGACUCCUACGGGAGGCAGCAGUAGGGAAUCUUCCGCAAUGGGCGAAAGCCUGACGGAGCAACGCCGCGUGAGUGAUGAAGGUCUUCGGAUCGUAAAACUCUGUUAUUAGGGAAGAACAAAUGUGUAAGUAACUAUGCACGUCUUGACGGUACCUAAUCAGAAAGCCACGGCUAACUACGUG
This 497-nucleotide ribosomal RNA is filed under the name uncultured bacterium. Its description in RNAcentral is "partial 16S ribosomal RNA". It matches the Rfam family "Bacterial small subunit ribosomal RNA", at positions 28 to 507 of the family's 1533-position model. The record is from RNAcentral.